UACGAAGGGGGCUAGCGUUGCUCGGAAUCACUGGGCGUAAAGGGUGCGUAGGCGGGUUUUUAAGUCAGGCGUGAAAGCCCCGGGCUCAACCUGGGAACCGCGCUUGAGACUGGCAUGCUCGAGUUCGGGAGAGGAUGGUGGAAUUCCCAGUGUAGAGGUGAAAUUCGUAGAUAUUGGGAAGAACACCGAUGGCGAAGGCAGCCAUCUGGACCGACACUGACGCUGAGGCGCGAAAGCGUGGGGAGCAAACAGG
This 253-nucleotide ribosomal RNA is filed under the name uncultured bacterium. Its description in RNAcentral is "partial 16S ribosomal RNA". It matches the Rfam family "Bacterial small subunit ribosomal RNA", at positions 524 to 776 of the family's 1533-position model. The record is from RNAcentral.